AAGAGACAACCAGCACAUAUACUAAGAAUUGGAAGGACGCAGAGAUUAGCAUGGCCCCUGCGUGAGGAUAACACACAAAUGUAUGAAGUAUUCCAUAGUUCU
RNAcentral lists this small nuclear RNA (102 nucleotides) under Chinchilla lanigera (long-tailed chinchilla). Lineage: Eukaryota; Metazoa; Chordata; Mammalia; Rodentia; Chinchillidae. The record is from RNAcentral.